This 596-nucleotide long non-coding RNA is filed under the name Daucus carota (carrot). RNAcentral's name for it is "long non-coding RNA (DCAR_LNC007164)". The record is from RNAcentral. Lineage: Eukaryota; Viridiplantae; Streptophyta; Magnoliopsida; Apiales; Apiaceae.
UUUCUCUUCUUUCUUUAUUUAUCUACAAUUUCCUGAAAUAAAAUAAAUAAGCGAUUAAUACUACGAAAAUAAACAAAAGAUAAGCAUUUAAAUAUGCAAAAAUAUGGACUAAUCAAACUUCCCCAUACCUAUCUUUUGCUCGUCCUCGAGUAAAAAUCAAAAGAAAAGAAAAUAAAGUAAGAAAACUAGAUGCGAUUCCUAGGCUCCUUUUCGUAGGCGUGACGGGUGAUUUUAGGUUCACCAACCCGUUAAACUCGUAGACGAUCUCUACAAGAGGAGUUUUGUCUCCUAAGGGUUUACAGAAGAUAUACCCAUAAAAUCUGUGAGACAUUCUAGCAAGUGUCUACUCGACUCUACUCUAAUUUCGCCGGUGUUAACAAAAAGCGUUUUUAAGGAAAAUACGACUCAAAGACUCUUUUACUAAUAAUCAAGAUACAGUUGUCUCUAAUCUACUUGAAAUCGACUCAAAAAUUUACUCGAAAUCCAAGGAGUGUAAUGAAUUUAAGGCCUUUGAUGGAUCCUAAUUGUCUAAGAACACUUCCUCUUUUUCAACCAAUAUUGAACUGACCCAAUCUCUAUCGAAACAAAUAUCUAGC